This 57-nucleotide transfer RNA is filed under the name Ovis aries (sheep). It matches the Rfam family "tRNA", at positions 8 to 63 of the family's 71-position model. Rfam says of the family: Transfer RNA (tRNA) molecules are approximately 80 nucleotides in length. Their secondary structure includes four short double-helical elements and three loops (D, anti-codon, and T loops). Lineage: Eukaryota; Metazoa; Chordata; Mammalia; Artiodactyla; Bovidae. The record is from Rfam by way of RNAcentral.
UGGCUCAGAGGUUAAAGUGUCUGCCUGGAAUGCUGGAGAUCCAGGUUCGAUCCCUGG